AUUGAACGCUGGCGGCAUGCUUUACACAUGCAAGUCGAACGGUAACAGGCCUUCGGGUGCUGACGAGUGGCGAACGGGUGAGUAAUGCAUCGGAACGUACCCAGAGGUGGGGGAUAACGCAGCGAAAGCUGUGCUAAUACCGCAUGUGAUCUGAGGAUGAAAGCGGGGGACCGAGCAGCAAUGUUUGGCCUCGCGCCUUUGGAGCGGCCGAUGUCGGAUUAGCUAGUUGGUGGGGUAAAGGCCUACCAAGGCGACGAUCCGUAGCUGAUCUGAGAGGACGACCAGCCACACUGGGACUGAGACACGGCCCAGACUCCUACGGGAGGCAGCAAUGGGGAAUUUUGGACAAUGGGCGCAAGCCUGAUCCAGCAAUGCCGCGUGCGGGAAGAAGGCCUUCGGGUUGUAAACCGCUUUUGGCAGGAACGAAACGGUGUCCGCUAAUACCGGGCGCUAAUGACGGUACCUGCAGAAUAAGCACCGGCUAACUACGUG
This 492-nucleotide ribosomal RNA is filed under the name uncultured bacterium. Its description in RNAcentral is "partial 16S ribosomal RNA". It matches the Rfam family "Bacterial small subunit ribosomal RNA", at positions 30 to 507 of the family's 1533-position model. The record is from RNAcentral.